Non-coding RNA from Lepisosteus oculatus (spotted gar), 578 nucleotides. NCBI's taxonomy places the organism in Eukaryota, Metazoa, Chordata, Actinopteri, Semionotiformes, Lepisosteidae. The record is from RefSeq and is a predicted model, not a curated record.
GACUAGCGAGAUGACACAACGCUUUUGUGUGGGACUGGAGCCCCUCAGCCAAUCUUAACUAGUGCAUAUCUCCUCUCGCUCCGUGGUGAUCCACAGGGAACGCCUGCUUUCCCUGAACCUGGUUUAUUAAAGAGAGCUGAAAUGAAGCAGUAAGGGAGAGAAGCACACAAACGCACACUGAGAGAGAGGGAGAGUGAGAGCACAAGUGCGUGAGGGAGAGAGAGGGGGAGAGCAGGAGCCUUCACACUCUGAUGUUGUGUGAGGACGUGCUUUUAUUUCAUUUGACUCUCCUUUUCAUCUCCCAGCUGGAGAAGUGAAGACUGAGAACGGCUGACAGAAUGAGGAUUGAUGCAGGGAAAUGAAAAGAAAAAAAAAGGAAAAAUCAGAGCACCACUGAAGCACGAGAAGAAGAAAAAAAUUAGAAACAGAAGCUGCUGAAGGCUGGGAGAAACUACGAAUCACCACAUCAGCGAUGAUGACUCCCAGAGUGAUGCCACAGCCUCUGGGCAAUGAUAGCACUCUGAUGUCAGCAGUUUUAACAAAAAAAAAGUAAUAAAAAUGAAACAAGGAAGGAAAAA